CUAAAAAAAAUAAAAUCUACUCAUACUUUUUCUUUUGAAAGAUAGUCUAUUUAUAUUUGCAGCAAGUGUGUGCUAUAUUUUCCAACUAAAAGUAUUCAAUCAUAUUCUUAAUAACUAAAAUUAAACUUUCUAAAAUAAACCACAAUCAAAUACCUCAAACUCAUGGUAAAAUAUAUUUUAUUUUCACUUAUCAAAAUAAUCAUAUUUCGUCAAUUCUAAAAUUUACUCUAAUAGUCUUGUAUUGGUUCAUUCUAUAGAACUAGUUUGUUUC
Molecule: long non-coding RNA, 271 nt
Filed under: Trifolium pratense (red clover)
Lineage: Eukaryota; Viridiplantae; Streptophyta; Magnoliopsida; Fabales; Fabaceae
Description: long non-coding RNA (TPRA_LNC004507)
Source: RNAcentral